AUUUAUCCACAGGACAGGUAUAGUACAAGCAGUAGCAAUAAAAGUUCCCCUACCCUGCUCUUUCAUGCUUUAUGCUUGACCUAAAAAGGGACCACCAAGAAGUAAA
This 106-nucleotide small RNA is filed under the name Chrysemys picta bellii (western painted turtle). RNAcentral's name for it is "TUC338 (ENSCPBG00000023251.1)". The record is from RNAcentral. Lineage: Eukaryota; Metazoa; Chordata; Testudines; Emydidae.